Molecule: ribosomal RNA, 408 nt
Filed under: uncultured bacterium
Lineage: Bacteria
Description: partial 16S ribosomal RNA
Rfam family: Bacterial small subunit ribosomal RNA
Source: RNAcentral
GACGAACGCUGGCGGCGUGCUUAACACAUUCAAGUCGAACGAAGUGGCGAACGGGUGAGUAACGCGUAAUCAAACUGCCCUUCAGAGGGGGACAACAGUUGGGAACGACUGCUAAUACCGCAUACUGAAGGGGGGGAUUGCGUCUGAUUAGCUAGUUGGAGGGGUAAAGGCCCACCAAGGCGAUGAUAAGUAGCCGGUCUGAGAGGAUGAACUGCCACAAUGGGACUGAGAAACGGCCCAGACUCCUACGGGAGGCAGCAGGGGGGAUUCUUCCGCAAUGGACGAAAGUCUGACGGAGCAACGCCGCGUGAUUGAUGACGGCUUUCGGGUUGUAAAGCUCUGUUAAUCGGUACGCGGUACCGGAAUAGAACGCCACGGCUAACUACGUGCCAGCAGCCGCGGUAAUUC